AGAUUGAACGCUGGCGGCAUGCCUUACACAUGCAAGUCGAACGGCAGCACGGGAGCAAUCCUGGUGGCGAGUGGCGAACGGGUGAGUAAUACAUCGGAACGUGCCCAAUCGUGGGGGAUAACGCAGCGAAAGCUGUGCUAAUACCGCAUAAGAUCUACGGACGAAAGCAGGGGAUCGCAAGACCUUGCGCGAAUGGAGCGGCCGAUGGCAGAUUAGGUAGUUGGUGAGGUAAAGGCUCACCAAGCCUUCGAUCUGUAGCUGGUCUGAGAGGACGACCAGCCACACUGGGACUGGGACACGGCCCAGACUCCUACGGGAGCAGCAGUGGGAAUUUGGACAAUGGGCGAAAGCCUGAUCCAGCCAUCGCGCGUGCAGGAUGAAGGCCUUCGGUUAGUAAACGUGUACUUUUGUACGGUAACGAAAGUUCUACUUUACGUAAUAAAGGAGGAAUCUAUAGACGUACCGUAAAGAAUAAAGACAACCGGUACUAACGUACGUCGUACC
Molecule: ribosomal RNA, 504 nt
Filed under: uncultured soil bacterium
Lineage: Bacteria
Description: bacterial SSU rRNA
Rfam family: Bacterial small subunit ribosomal RNA
Source: RNAcentral